UGUCCAAUGCGGGAAUCGAACCCGGGUCAUAGUGGUCGAAAACCAAACGGUUUACCAGCCUUCCACCAACCCCCACUAAAC
Molecule: transfer RNA, 81 nt
Filed under: Cordylochernes scorpioides
Lineage: Eukaryota; Metazoa; Arthropoda; Arachnida; Pseudoscorpiones; Chernetidae
Description: tRNA-Glu
Source: RNAcentral